CCAUUAUUGAUAACUUUCUCUGUCUCUCUCUCUCCAUAAGCUGUUCAUCUCCCCCAACCACAACAAACCAACUAGCUUUGCUUUGGUUUCUGUCCAGGACAAGAGCAUCAUCCUUAAUCCCCUUUGUUUUUUUUUUUUGCAAUUGGUUUUUCUGAAGAAUAUUUUAGGAAAAAAAAAAAAAAAAAACUUUGGAGAAGAAUGAAUGAAAAGGAAUAAACAAAUUCUAAAGCCUCAAAUUUGGAAUAUUCCAAUUUCUCAUCUUCCUUUCUUCCUUACUGAUUCGUGACCUCUGUUUCAUUUUUUCUUUUUGUUUUUUCAAUCUCUCUGUUCCUCGUAACAGUAAAGCUUCAAGGCUCUCCCUUUGAUCGGAUGAUUCUCAUCACUUUCUCAAUCUGAAUCUUUCGAUUCUCAAAUCGUAUUGGAUUUUUAGAUCUGGUGCUGUAAUAACAACAAACCAGCUGCUCUGUUUUUUUUUUUUUUUUAAUUAAAGUUUCAAAAUUUGGGAGCUUUGUUUGCGAAUUGCUGUAAUGGAUUUGGAUGAUUUCCGGACGGUUAUGGACAACGCCGGCGUCGAUGUUUGGACAUUUAUAGAUACUGCGAUCCUCGUGGCGUCGCUUGAUUACGGUCACGAGCUGAAGCAGAGGAGAGAUAACAUCGUCGAGCGUCUCUACGCGACCUCCAUGGCUAACAAGUGUAGAAACUGCGACUAUGGCGGCGGAGGAACCGUUGCGGCUGGUGCUAGGGCUAAUGGGAGGGUUCACGAGGAGACGGAGGAAGAAGAAGAAGAAGUAAGAGAGAAAUCAGUUAAUGGUGAUGACGAGGAGGAUGAUGAUGACGACGAUGAGGAUCCGUUUGCUGGUUUGUUUGAUGAUGAGCAGAAGAGUAUUCUUGAAAUCAAGGAGAAGCUUGAAGAACCUAAUCUGAGUGAAGAAGCUUUGGUGGAGUUGCUUCAGAAUCUGGAAGAUAUGGAGAUAACAUUCCAAGCUCUUCAGGAAACUGAUAUUGGGAGGUAUGUGAAUCGAGAUCGAGUUCGGAAGCAUCCAUCCAACGAAGUUCGGAGAUUAGCUAAACAACUUGUCAAAAAAUGGAAAGAAACAGUGGACGAAUGGGUCAAAUUCAACCAGCCUGGUGAUCUCCAUCCUCCUAGUUUAAUAGCUGAUGAGGACUCACCGCAGCAGAGAGCUGUCCACCAACAGGUUCCUGACUUUGGGUAUUCGCCAGCUCCUCAAGCAAGCAAGCAUAGUAACAUCACUAAGCCAGAGAGGAAGCCUAGACCUGUUGCUCCUCCUCCUAGGAGAGAAACUCCUUCUCCUGCUAAACCUUCUCGUCCUUCUCCUUCUCAACAACAACCCAUUCAGAGGGAGAAGGAGCAUAAAGAAAUUGAUUUUGACUCUGCUCGGAAAAGACUACAACAAAACUACAGACAGGCUGAGAAUGCUAAAAAGCAAAGGACUAUACAGGUGAUGGACAUUCAUGAGAUCCCUAAACCCAAGAAGGGUGGGUUUUUUCCAAGAAAAGGAGGGAGUUCUCAGGGAGGUGGUAGACACUGGUAGACUAAAUGAAGAAGAUGAUGAAGAGAAUUGAGUGAACCGAGUUAGUAGAGGAAUGUAAAAGACAGAGAACAAAGCUCUGUUUUUUUGAGACAGGCACAAGAGGAAAGACAGUGAAAUCUAAAAAAAAUGUUUGGAAUUAAGUUGAUUCACAGUUUGCUGGAAUUUUUUUUAUUCAGUUGCUGUCAAUGUAAAUAAAUGUCUAAUAAACGGGUCAAUGUAAAGUGAGGAUUGUAAUCUUUGUUUAGCUUAUCUUUUAGUUUGAGGGUUGUAAAAAAUUGUUUUAGAUUUAAUAAUCGAAACACAACAACAACAACAACAAAAAAAAACGUUUUUCGUUUUGUUUUUGACUUUA
Brassica napus (rape) is the source of this 1905-nucleotide RNA transcript. It is a transcript of the gene named probable mediator of RNA polymerase II transcription subunit 26c, with no coding region annotated. The record is from RefSeq and is a predicted model, not a curated record. The transcript is spliced from 8 exons. Lineage: Eukaryota; Viridiplantae; Streptophyta; Magnoliopsida; Brassicales; Brassicaceae.